CUAAGAAUAUUCCGCAAUGGACGAAAGUCUGACGGAGCGACGCCGCGUGGAUGAUGAAGGCCGAAAGGUUGUAAAGUCCUUUUGCUGGGGAAGAAUAACCAUGGGAGGUAAUGCCCGUGGGAUGACAUGAACCGGCGAAUAAGCCCCGGCUAACUACGUGCCAGCAGCCGCGGUAACACGUAGGGGGCGAGCGUUGUUCGGAAUUACUGGGCGUAAAGGGCAUGUAGGCGGCUUGGUAAGCCUGGCGUGAAAGUCACCGGCUCAACCGGUGGAUUGCGUUGGGUACUGCUGAGCUUGAAUCACGGAGAGGGAGCUAGAAUUCCAGGUGUAGGGGUGAAAUCUGUAGAGAUCUGGAAGAAUACCAGUGGCGAAGGCGAGCUCCUGGCCGAUGAUUGACGCUGAGGUGCGAAAGUGUGGGGGUCAAACAG
Molecule: ribosomal RNA, 428 nt
Filed under: uncultured bacterium
Lineage: Bacteria
Description: bacterial SSU rRNA
Rfam family: Bacterial small subunit ribosomal RNA
Source: RNAcentral